RNAcentral lists this transfer RNA (59 nucleotides) under Candidatus Eiseniibacteriota bacterium. RNAcentral describes it as "tRNA-Pro". It matches the Rfam family "tRNA", at positions 9 to 64 of the family's 71-position model. From Rfam's summary of the family: Transfer RNA (tRNA) molecules are approximately 80 nucleotides in length. Their secondary structure includes four short double-helical elements and three loops (D, anti-codon, and T loops). The record is from RNAcentral. Lineage: Bacteria; Candidatus Eiseniibacteriota.
GGCGCAGUCAGGUAGCGCACUAGCAUGGGGGGCUAGGGGUCGCUGGUUCGAAUCCAGUC